AGUGAACGCUGGCGGUAGGCCUAACACAUGCAAGUCGAACGGCAGCACAGUAAGAGCUUGCUCUUACGGGUGGCGAGUGGCGGACGGGUGAGGUAUACAUCGGAAUCUACUUUUUCGUGGGGGAUAACGUAGGGAAACUUACGCUAAUACCGCAUACGACCUACGGGUGAGAGCAGGGGAUCUUCUGACCUUGCGCGAUUGUAUGAGCCGAUGUCGGCUUAGCUAGUUGGCGGGGUAAAGGCCCACCAAGGCGACGAUCCGUAGCUGGUCUGAGAGGAUGAUCAGACACACUGGAAGUGAGACACGGUCCAGACUCCUACGGGAGGAAGCAGUGGGGAAUAUUGGACAAAGGGCGAAAGCCUGAUCCAGCCAUACCGCGUGGGUGAAGAAGGCCUUCGGGUUGUAAAGCCCUUUUGUUGGGAAAGAAAAGCAGCAGGUUAAUACCCCGCUGUUCUGACGGUACCCAAAGAAUAAGCACCGGCUAACUUCGUG
RNAcentral lists this ribosomal RNA (492 nucleotides) under uncultured bacterium. Its description in RNAcentral is "partial 16S ribosomal RNA". It matches the Rfam family "Bacterial small subunit ribosomal RNA", at positions 29 to 507 of the family's 1533-position model. The record is from RNAcentral.